RNAcentral lists this unclassified non-coding RNA (259 nucleotides) under fungal sp. Its description in RNAcentral is "partial internal transcribed spacer region". The stretch from base 1 to 46 matches the Rfam family "Eukaryotic small subunit ribosomal RNA", at positions 1786 to 1831 of the family's 1831-position model. The record is from RNAcentral. Lineage: Eukaryota; Fungi.
AAGUCGUAACAAGGUUUCCGUAGGUGAACCUGCGGAAGGAUCAUUGACAAAUCUAAACAGUUGCUUGGAUAGCAAGGCUAACACCUACUUUUCAAGUUAACACAUUCUAACCUGUGAAUCGGCAGCACGCAAGUGUUGUUAGAGCGUGUGAGUGUCUGCUAAUUUAUAUUAGCAGACAACUGCUCCUCUACAUUUACGUAACCAAUUGUCUUAACAAACUAAAACAAUACAACUUUUAGCAAUGGAUCUCUUGGCUUCU